RNAcentral lists this small RNA (278 nucleotides) under Oryza sativa Japonica Group (Japanese rice). Its description in RNAcentral is "sRNA Os05g0555900". The record is from RNAcentral. Lineage: Eukaryota; Viridiplantae; Streptophyta; Magnoliopsida; Poales; Poaceae.
GGUUUUAUAUCAGCUAGUCACUUGGUUUACCGGCCAGAGAAAUUUAAGCGAUUUUGAGGAGUUUAGCUUUUGUUUUACUGCACAGACUAUCUGGUUGCAUCUUGUACAACGCAUGCCAAUCACUCAUUUGCGUUGAAAUGAUAUUUCCAUGCGGUGUUAACUCUUUAUCUGUAAUUUCUGUCUGAUUGUCAUGGUGACUGUCAAAUGCAACCUUCUAUAGCUUUCCAUGAACCAGAUGCCCUUUGAUCUAUACAAACAUAACAUCGCUAUUGUGAACC